This 588-nucleotide ribosomal RNA is filed under the name uncultured bacterium. Its description in RNAcentral is "partial 16S ribosomal RNA". It matches the Rfam family "Bacterial small subunit ribosomal RNA", at positions 355 to 938 of the family's 1533-position model. The record is from RNAcentral.
UGGGGAAUUUUGGACAAUGGGCGAAAGCCUGAUCCAGCAAUGCCGCGUGUGUGAAGAAGGCCUUCGGGUUGUAAAGCACUUUUGUCCGGAAAGAAAUCCUUGGCUCUAAUACAGUCGGGGGAUGACGGUACCGGAAGAAUAAGCACCGGCUAACUACGUGCCAGCAGCCGCGGUAAUACGUAUGGUGCAAGCGUUAAUCGGAAUUACUGGGCGUAAAGCGUGCGCAGGCGGUUUGCUAAGACCGAUGUGAAAUCCCCGGGCUCAACCUGGGAACUGCAUUGGUGACUGGCAGGCUAGAGUAUGGCAGAGGGGGGUAGAAUUCCACGUGUAGCAGUGAAAAUGCGUAGAGAUGUGGAGGAAUACCGAUGGCGAAGGCAGCCCCCUGGGCAAUACUGACGCUCAUGCACGAAAAGCGUGGGGAGCAAACAGGACUAGAUACCCUGGUAGUCCACGCCCUAAAACGAUGUCAACUAGUUGUUGGGGAUUCAUUUCCUUAGUAACGUAGCUAACGCGUGAAGUUGACCGCCUGGGGAGUACGGUCGCAAGAUUAAAAACUUAAAGGAAUUGACGGGGUCAUAGCUGUUUCUU